This 1061-nucleotide long non-coding RNA is filed under the name Numida meleagris (helmeted guineafowl). RNAcentral describes it as "lncRNA (ENSNMEG00000017549.1)". Lineage: Eukaryota; Metazoa; Chordata; Aves; Galliformes; Numididae. The record is from RNAcentral.
CAAAUUACACCUUGCCCACUUCCAUUUGCACAUAUUUCAAAUUUAGAAGACAUUUUCUCAUCUUCCUCACUGAUGCCUCUGUCCCCAUAAAAUGCACACUGAUCAAAGAAAUCAAUUCAGUAACAAGAAGAUACCAAAAUAUCACACUUACCAAAGGGCUCAAACAGUGAGAACUGUUUUAAUUAGGUUCCAAGAAUUCUUUUUUUGAACUUUGUUUUUUAAUAUUUGCUCACAACCCAAGAGUUUAAGGGCCAGAUCUUCCAAUGCAGCCUAGGACUGGCAGUAUCGUUCACGAGAUGGAAGAGAGAGGGAUUCUGUCUCAAGAGGGAGGCAAAGAAUGGAAGGCACUUGAAGUUAAGGGGCAUUUUGAAAUAGCCUGAGUGCUUCGGUCUCACGCUUACAGAAUGAGUUGUUGUUAGUCUCACCACAAAAUUAUUCUUUAGAUGAGGGCUGAGGUUUUGUUUGCUUUAACUCUGCUUCCUAUGUUAUGUAUAUAUUUAUGUAUAUAAAGACAAUAUAUAUAUUCAAACAGCUAUUUUUAAACAAGUAUAUCUAUAAAACUUAAGUAGCUGAUUCCCAACAAAGCCAAAGCCUUAAUUCUGUGAUGAACUCAUUAUCUUGCACUCAACCAGUAUGCAGUCUGUGGUUUUAUAUCAGAAAAAGGAUAUAGUACUUUUCUUAAUCCCCAACUUAUAUGAAAUCCUGUUGUUACAGCGUUCACUUCAACAAUAGGCCUUUGGAGCAAACAAAAUGCCUGGCUGUCAACUAGGUUGCUAUAAGGAAGGAACAGGACAUUGUUUACAUCACAAUGCAGCAUCAAUGAAGUUUGACAGAUCGAUCAUACAGAAAAAAAAAAAAAAAAAAGCCAGGAAGACUACCCGGCAUAAACUUCAAUUGCCUCCAUCCUCCUCAGCCAAAACUCCUUUUUACCUCUUCAACUUUUCAGGUAAAGCUGCAGGAUUAAAUCAAUUGCCUCAAAGGUAGAUUUUGUUUUUCUGUUACACUUGAACAUUGUUCUUCACAUGUAAUUUAUCAUGCAAGUUCAAAUGUGCUUUUUUUUU